UUGGAGGGCAAGUCUGGUGCCAGCAGCCGCGGUAAUUCCAGCUCCAAUAGCGUAUAUUAAAGUUGUUGCAGUUAAAAAGCUCGUAGUUGAAUUUCGGGGUCAGUAGGUCGGUCGUGCCACUGGUAUGAACUGGUUUUACUGAUUCCUCCCUCUUGAAGAACUGUAAUGCCAUUAAUUUGGUGUUGCAGGGAAUCAGGACUGUUACUUUGAAAAAAUUAGAGUGUUUAAAGCAGGCUUUAGCUUGAAUACAUUAGCAUGGAAUAAUGAAAUAGGACGUUUGAUCCUAUUUUGUUGGUUUCUAGGAUUGACGUAAUGAUUAAUAGGGAUAGUUGGGGGCAUUAGUAUUCAAUUGUCAGAGGUGAAAUUCUUGGAUUUAUUGAAGACUAACUACUGCGAAAGCAUUUGCCAAGGAUGUUUUCAUUAAUCAAGAACGAAAGUUAGGGGAUCGAAGACGAUCAGAUACCGUCGUAGUCUUAACCAUAAACUAUGCCGACUAGGGAUCGGUUGAUGUUAAUUUUUUAAUGACUCAUUCGGCGCCUUACGGGAAAC
This 549-nucleotide ribosomal RNA is filed under the name uncultured Glomeromycotina. Its description in RNAcentral is "SSU rRNA". It matches the Rfam family "Eukaryotic small subunit ribosomal RNA", at positions 548 to 1098 of the family's 1831-position model. Lineage: Eukaryota; Fungi; Glomeromycota. The record is from RNAcentral.